RNAcentral lists this small RNA (353 nucleotides) under Arabidopsis thaliana (thale cress). RNAcentral's name for it is "ATSL122970". The record is from RNAcentral. Lineage: Eukaryota; Viridiplantae; Streptophyta; Magnoliopsida; Brassicales; Brassicaceae.
AUAUAUAUAUAUAUGUUGGAUAAUGAUUGUUUUCUCGAAUAUUGUGUCGAUUUAUAGUGUAGUCAUAUUUUAGAUAGCUACUCCGUUCAUCACCAAUAGCUUGUUUCUAUGGUUAAUUUCUUUCACUUAUUAGAUUUAUCUCAACCAAUCACUCAAUUAGUUUCUAGAGAUUGUUGUGAUUGCUAUACUACAUGUUAAGCACUUUUUAUUUUUGCCGGAUUUCUUGGCCAAAAGGGUUGGCGAUAGAAGCAACUACAUUAAAUUCAUGACCUAAGCUAAAUUACAUGUAACGAUAUACAAUACAAGAUUUGUCUAAACUAAACAUUGAUUCAACCAAAACUUAUAUAGACUAU